RNAcentral lists this long non-coding RNA (1053 nucleotides) under Homo sapiens (human). Its description in RNAcentral is "novel transcript". The record is from RNAcentral. Lineage: Eukaryota; Metazoa; Chordata; Mammalia; Primates; Hominidae.
AAUAUUCAGGUCAGGUCAAAGCCUAGAGAAAAAUGCGCAUUCAGAAGUGGGCUGCCAUCCUGCUUUUUCUGAAGUGAACAGCUGCUGGGUAUUGAAACCAGCCCUCACGGUUGGGUCCCUGCCACCAUGGCAACACUCUGGUUUCUGAGCUGGAGUGGCCAAGGCACAAUGGGGUGGUUCCAUGGCCCAGAAGCACUCUAGCUACAGAUUAGUUUAUUUCAGGACUAUAUUAAGUUUCCCAACUUCUGUCAUGAUAUAGUCCAAAGAGAACCUGGACCACGCAGACAUCAAACAGAACAUGACACUGACCCAUUCUAUCAGUGACGUUGUGCUGAUUGCACAGGACAGAUGAGAGGCUCGUAUACUAGAAGUCUUGCAUCAUCUUUAUGUAAAUCACUGUACUUGGCUUCGUGAGAAAUAUAAAAAUGAAUUGCUUCAAUCCCUGGACUCAAGGAUCCUGUGUUACCAAGGUGGUUAUCAAACCUGGGUCAAAGUUGAAUCACCUGAGGAUCUUUUAGAACAUACACAGUCAUAUGAUACUUCAAAAUCUGUGAUUCCAUGAAGCCAAGAGUAGCUCUUCAACAGGAAAUGAAUGAGUGCUUCAGCUUCUGAUCCCAUUAGUAAGAAAAUACAGUCUUAUGAGCAAUGAUGGAGCUGCAUCUCUUAGGGGCAUUUGAUUCCCAAGAGACCAAAGAGCAAAGAGAAUGUCAAUUUAAAAAAAUCAAAUGUUUCCAUGACUUAGCUAUUUAACUGCUUUAAAAUGAAUGAAUGCUGCUUCAAGUUCUUUCAAAUACCCCACAUCUUGGCAACAACGAAAGGAAUUAACAUGAAGAAAAUUUACAAUCUUUCAUCACAUCGAACAAUGUCCCACAUUUGAAAAGUUCACAGCACAGAUUUCUGGUUACUGAAAGAAAGGAAAGACCUUCUUUGGAUUUGAAUAAACAGAUGGACUUUCUUCUCCUUUUUCUUAUAGUGCCCGAUUUGUGUAAAGGGAGGUGGGAAGAAAACAUCUUAGCUUAAAAGAGUGUCCUAUAAAAUAAAAGGUUUCAUACU